CACUUCCUGUGAUCAAAGGCCCUGGUGACAUUGUGUAUUUGGGGUCUACAUGAAAACAAGGAGAGAUUGAAGCUGUGGUGAUUGCCACUAGUGUUCAUACCUUUUUUGGCAAGGCUGCUCAUCUUGUCGAUAACACAAAUCAACAGGCCCACUUUUAAAAGUGCUAGUGGGAUUCCAGGAGAGAAUAUGGGUGUUAUUAUACAAUUCCUCUUGAUCAUGGUCAAUCUGGGAGGACAGAUAGCCUCUUGUAUAUCCUUCAUGGACUCUGCUAACCUAUGCUUCGAUGACUAUUGGUUUUGUAAGUCUCCUUUUCAGCAGCUCAUCUCUUAUUUGGGAUUAUACGGAUCUGGGUUUGAGUUUGAAGGUCUUGUUUGGGCCAUUAGAACUUAGUUAUGUAGAUUACAAUUGUAUUUUGAUUUGAUAGGUCAGUAGGUUUUGAUUUUGUUUCAUUUUGAUUUCAUAGACUGGCUUUGGUUCAAUGACUCUUGUCUUGGUCUCUCCAUGAAUUCGAAGUCAAUCACUUAGUGACUCUUCAUCUCUCUCUCUCUCUCUCUCUCUCUCUCUCUCUCUCUCUCAAUCUCUCCUGGACGGUUGCCAGCACUAGCCCUCUCCCUCUAUCCUCGAAUUAGAUCAGGUGCUAGUUCUGGUUGUUUAAGCUUUGUUUUUGAAAAAGGUGUUGGCUUUGGUGAAUGUUUCCGGGAUUUAUGUGAUCUGGGUUGUCAUUCGAUUUGGUUUUUAUUGGGUUUUUGAUGCUUUUCUUGCUAGCUUUGGUUGCUGGGAUAUUGAAGACAAAAUAAAAGAGAAGAAAAUGAAAUGAAAUGGGCAUGUCCUUCAUUUUCUCUAUGGUUUUCUGGGUGCAGAAACAUACUGUGAUUGAGUCCAAGCCUGAACAUUUUCUGGAUGACCUUCGUUUGAAUAAUCCAUGGCCUGAGCUUAGAAGGUCCAGAGUUGCAACAAAUAAUUAGUGACAGCCGUUCUUAAGUUCAUUCCGGUUAAUCAGACUUUUGGGUCAUGGUGGCGGCAUUGAAGAUUUGUGAAACCAAGAUUGAAUCUGCGACAACUGGAUAUAGUGUGCAUAAAUUAGAUCUGUUUAUCUUGGAAUUCCUAGCAAAUGAAGGUGGUGGUGAGGCACCCCUCGAGGGAUCAGUACCAGAUAUAACAUCUUCAACUGAGCACUAUGUAGCUUUACAGAAAACCUACCAAGCCAAGGCUGAGGCUGAUUUUCUAGUAUUGACCAAAGGGUUAGGACUCUUCUAAAGAGAAUUAGUAGAGAUCCUAGUAGCAACUCAAAGGCAACUGUUAUAAGUUUCUGCAAGAAUGCUAGAAAACUCAAAGUAAGUGUGUGGAGUUUU
Molecule: RNA transcript, 1352 nt
Organism: Rosa chinensis
Lineage: Eukaryota; Viridiplantae; Streptophyta; Magnoliopsida; Rosales; Rosaceae
Exons: 5
Source: RefSeq, a predicted model, not a curated record